Paramisgurnus dabryanus is the source of this 314-nucleotide non-coding RNA. The record is from RefSeq and is a predicted model, not a curated record. NCBI's taxonomy places the organism in Eukaryota, Metazoa, Chordata, Actinopteri, Cypriniformes, Cobitidae.
AUGCAUCCGAGGAGGACGGCAGGCUGGGCAGACUAGUCAAUGACGAUCACAGAAAACCCAAUUGCAAAAUGAAGGUCAUUGCUGUUAAUAAUCGCCCCCACUUGUGCCUUUUCUCAAUUGAUGAAAUUUUACCUGGAGGAGAAUUGACAUAUGAUUAUGGACCAUCAGACUGGCCAUGGAGACCCCAGAGGAUCAUUACUGUCACAUCUCAGACGUCAGAAUCGCGUUUACACAAAAGUUCAGAAGAGAUGAUUACAGAUGUUGCCACCACUGAGACAUUUACACUGUGUGUCCCUGAAGCAAGUUCACAACAG